This 1394-nucleotide long non-coding RNA is filed under the name Daphnia pulicaria. RNAcentral's name for it is "uncharacterized LOC124312211, transcript variant X1". Lineage: Eukaryota; Metazoa; Arthropoda; Branchiopoda; Diplostraca; Daphniidae. The record is from RNAcentral.
AUCCGCCAGGUGGCGCGAGUGUCUUCGUGACGAAAAAUAUUUGCCAUUUGUUUUCCGCCUUUCCGGAGAAGCUGACAUGAAAGUGUUGUCUUCCAACUUGAUUGGUGUCGAUCUACAUUUUUAGCCAUUAAAUGUAAUUGGCAAUCUGGCAUAUAAUUUCACUUGGCCAAAUGUGAUGACGUGGGUCGAAAAUCGAAAUGUCGGACAUUUUUAGCUGUAGGCCUACGUCUCAUACUCUCAUCUCGUGCAGAAACACUUAGGAGCUAUUUAUUUUCAGCUCGGAAAUGGAGAUCCCUUUGCUCAACUGUUGAAGAAAUUUAGAACACGACAAAGUCUGAGCUUCAUGGCUGUAGUAUCAUUAAUGUGGUUUUAUUGCAGCCAGCUGGUGAAAGGUAUGAUUGAGUCAUGGUUGAGUUGCAGCAUCUGCAUGCAGUUUAUCGAGCUGGUGCUAUCCCAAGUGUAACUGCACAAAAACUUCUUGAAUUGCCAGGCGAAGUCUGCGCUUCUUUGUUGCAGUCUAAUGUGCGCAUGGAUUCGUUGCAGUCAUCCAGUGAAAGGUGUGAUUAAAUUGAGCUGUUGCAUGCAGUCUUUGGUGCUGAUGUUGUCCUGGAGUGUGGGAGAGUCCCAUGCUUCAAGUCUUCUGGGAUCAGCCAUAUCUGAGUUGAUGCUGGAUCAUGCUGCAUUUGGUUGCUGAAAUGUUGGAAAUCUAGUAGAACUGCAAGAAGACUCCUUGAAAUGGUUUACGUUUACGUAGCAGUGAUGUUGCUGUCCAAUAUGGCAUGUUGUUGCAGCCUAUACUGGUGAAAGAUUUUUUGCAUCGAGUUAUGCUGUCGCUGUUCCUUGGUGCCGGACUGCUGGUGUUGUGCAUAAAAGUUACAUCCAGUUUUAAUUGUUAUUUGUGUCUAUGCAGUUAACCGUUUAUGUGUUGAAAAGGGACAGAAAAGUUCCAUAGUGUUGAAUCGCUGGUGUUGUGCUACAUAAGUUACAUCCAGUAUUUUGUUUAAUUGCUAUUUGCGUCUAUGAAGUUAACCGUUUAUAUGUUGAGAAUGAAAAAAAUUGUAAUACGGGGAAUCUUUACGUUGAACAAAUAAUAAACAUGCCUUCGCGAUUGGGAAACCAGCGAGGAGGAGAUUGGAGGGAGGGGUAAUUGAUUUUCAUUAAUUAGAAAAAGUCGUGGUUUGUUUUAAUAAAGUAGAAAUAAAAUCCUUUGUCUAUCACAUCCAUAUUCCUAUCUACAUAACCACAUCUAUUCCUGAAACCCCAUAACUUCCACCAACAUCCAUUCCUUAAACCCAUAACUUCCACCAUCUUCUAUUCCUUAAACCCCCAUUUCCCCACAAAUAUCUGAAAUUUAUAAAUAUUAUUGUUGAAUAAAAAACCAUCUAUUGAAUAUG